CGUAGGCUUGAUGAAUGUAGAAGAUAAACUACAUCUUUUAUCUACGGUUGUCAGUGUUGAAAAUUAGAAACACGGAACUUAUAUAAAACUACAGAACAAAUCAAAGUUUUAAAGAUAGCUCUCACAUUUUCUCAUUUUCUCUCUAGUAGCUCAAAUCUCUCUCACACAAAACUUAGAAAUUUCAAACCCAAUUUCAUAGCUCUCAAUCAUGGAAAUUUCGUAGCUCUAGGUCAUGGCAAUUGCAUAGCUAUUGGUUUCUCAAUGCGGUGGCUGUGUCUCAUCGUCACUCACAAAAUCGAAGUCGAAGUCUUCUGUCAACUCUUCUACUCUUCGCCAACCUCAUCUAAUCUCCCCCAAUUUUCUAGGGUUUCAAGCUCAAUUGCCACUGCAAAACGAAGAUCAUUUUGCCUGAUUUGUCUUGAUUCUUCAAUGGAGGAAAAUUCGAGUCUACUACAAAGGAUGGUCAAGCUAAUAAAGUCAGUCGCCUCCAAGAUUUGAUAGUUCAUAGUCUAUACAGCCACAUAGAGGUGUUCCUUCGAGAGCUUGUGAGGAAUGUGUAGAGACAGAGCAAGCUCUUUUAGUUUCUCAACUUAACAGUGACAACAGUGAAAUGGCUGAAUUAGUUGACAUGGACUGGGACAACCAUGGAUUUGCAUUUCUCCCUACUGAUUAUAUGUAUAUCAUGGAAUGUGCUCGAGUGGGGGACUUCUCUAAAGGCGAAUUACAGCGUUUUAGGAACAUUGAAAUGAACUCUUCAGCUGGAGUCUUGAAUUAUGGGCAGGCAUCAAAAAGAACUUAGUGAUUAAUGGGAUCUCAUGCGCAUUGAAUAGGACCUGGCUAUAGAUGUCUAAAUGGCAGAUGUGAGUCACUAUGUUUUUAAAAUUUCCAAUGAAUUGGUCUUGAAGGUUAAAGGUUAUAAAAAUCUUCUAUUUUGAAAGGUAGAUGAACAAUGUAAAUUUAAGAGUGUAAAGGGCAGUAGGCAGAGUAGUUGAGUUGUAUUGAUUUUUACAGUUUGUUUCAGGUUAUUAUAUUUUGAUUAAUGUGAAAGA
Long non-coding RNA from Quercus lobata, 1049 nucleotides. RefSeq lists it as uncharacterized. Lineage: Eukaryota; Viridiplantae; Streptophyta; Magnoliopsida; Fagales; Fagaceae. The transcript is spliced from 6 exons. The record is from RefSeq and is a predicted model, not a curated record.